AUUGAACGCUGACGGAAUGCUUUGCACAUGCAAGUCGAACGGCAGCACGGGGGCAACCCUGGUGGCGAGUGGCGAACGGGUGAGUAAUACAUCGGAACGUGCCCAGUCGUGGGGGAUGACGUAGCGAAAGUUACGCUAAUACCGCAUACGAUCUACGGAUGAAAGCGGGGGACCGUAAGGCCUCGCGCGAUUGGAGCGGCCGAUGUCAGAUUAGGUAGUUGGUGAGGUAAAGGCUCACCAAGCCGACGAUCUGUAGCUGGUCUGAGAGGACGACCAGCCACACUGGGACUGAGACACGGCCCAGACUCCUACGGGAGGCAGCAGUGGGGAAUUUUGGACAAUGGGCGCAAGCCUGAUCCAGCCAUUCCGCGUGCAGGACGAAGGCCUUCGGGUUGUAAACUGCUUUUGUACGGAACGAAAAGGCUCUGGUUAAUACCUGGGGCUCAUGACGGUACCGUAAGAAUAAGCACCGGCUAACUACGUGCCAGCCGCCGCAGUAA
RNAcentral lists this ribosomal RNA (500 nucleotides) under uncultured bacterium. Its description in RNAcentral is "partial 16S ribosomal RNA". It matches the Rfam family "Bacterial small subunit ribosomal RNA", at positions 30 to 523 of the family's 1533-position model. The record is from RNAcentral.